RNAcentral lists this ribosomal RNA (440 nucleotides) under uncultured bacterium. Its description in RNAcentral is "bacterial SSU rRNA". It matches the Rfam family "Bacterial small subunit ribosomal RNA", at positions 28 to 491 of the family's 1533-position model. The record is from RNAcentral.
GAUGAACGCUGGCGGCGUGCCUAAUACAUGCAAGUCGAACGGAGAUUGUAGCAAUACGGUCUUAGUGGCGAACGGGUGAGUAACGCGUUGGUAACCUGCCCCGAAGCGUGGGAUAACGGUCCGAAAGGACCACUAAUACCACAUGUGAUCCCGAGGAAUAGAUACUUGGGAUGAAAGGAGCAAUUCGCUUCGGGAGGGACCUGCGUCCCAUCAGCUAGUUGGUAGGGUAACGGCCUACCAAGGCGAUGACGGGUAGGGGACCUGAGAGGGUGGCCCCCCACAAUGGAACUGAAACACGGUCCAUACACCUACGGGUGGCAGCAGUAGGGAAUAUUGGUUAAUGUGCGAAAGCGCGAACCAGCAACGCCGCGUGUGCGAUGAAGGCCUGGUCGUAAGCACUUUUUGUCAGGGAAGAGGAAGGACGGUACUGCAGAAUAAGU